This 517-nucleotide ribosomal RNA is filed under the name uncultured bacterium. RNAcentral describes it as "bacterial SSU rRNA". It matches the Rfam family "Bacterial small subunit ribosomal RNA", at positions 29 to 518 of the family's 1533-position model. The record is from RNAcentral.
ACGAACGCUGGCGGCGUGCCUAAUACAUGCAAGUCGAACGGUCUUUUCUAUGGAAGCUUGCUUCCACUGAGAAGAUAGUGGCGAACGGGUGAGUAACACGUGGGUAACCUGCCCAUAAGAGGGGGAUAACAUCCGGAAACGGGUGCUAAUACCGCAUAGUUUUCUUGAUCGCAUGAUCGGGAAAGGAAAGACGGCCUUUGUGCUGUCGCUUAUGGAUGGACCCGCGGCGUAUUAGUUAGUUGGUGAGGUAACGGCUCACCAAGACGAUGAUACGUAGCCGACCUGAGAGGGUGAUCGGCCACAUUGGGACUGAGACACGGCCCAAACUCCUACGGGAGGCAGCAGUAGGGAAUCUUCCGCAAUGGACGAAAGUCUGACGGAGCAACGCCGCGUGAGUGAAGAAGGUUUUCGGAAUCGUAAAACUCUGUUGUCAGAGAAGCACAAGUUGGAGAGUAGCUGCUCCAGCCUUGACGGUAUCUGACCAGAAAGCCACGGCUAACUACGUGCCAGCCGCUGC